GGGGAAUAUUGCACAAUGGGCGAAAGCCUGAUGCAGCGACGCCGCGUGAAGGAUGAAGUAUUUCGGUAUGUAAACUUCUAUCAGCAGGGAAGAAAAUGACGGUACCUGACUAAGAAGCCCCGGCUAACUACGUGCCAGCAGCCGCGGUAAUACGUAGGGGGCAAGCGUUAUCCGGAUUUACUGGGUGUAAAGGGAGCGUAGACGGCUGUGCAAGUCUGAAGUGAAAGGCAUGGGCUCAACCUGUGGACUGCUUUGGAAACUGUGCAGCUAGAGUGUCGGAGAGGUAAGUGGAAUUCCUAGUGUAGCGGUGAAAUGCGUAGAUAUUAGGAGGAACACCAGUGGCGAAGGCGGCCUACUGGGCACCAACUGACGCUGAGGCUCGAAAGUGUGGGUAGCAAACAGGAUUAGAUACCCUGGUAGUCCACACCGUAAACGAUGAUUACUAGGUGUUGGAGGAUUGACCCCUUCAGUGCCGCAGUUAACACAAUAAGUAAUCCACCUGGGGAGUACGACCGCAAGGUUGAAACUCAAAGGAAUUGACGGGGGCCCGCACAAGCAGUGGAGUAUGUGGUUUAAUUCGACGCAACGCGAAGAACCUUACCAAGUCUUGACAUCCCUUGACAGGCAUAGAAAUAUGUUUUCUCUUCGGAGCAAGGAGACAGGUGGUGCAUGGUUGUCGUCAGCUCGUGUCGUGAGAUGUUGGGUUAAGUCCCGCAACGAGCGCAACCCUUAUGGUCAGUUACUACGCAAGAGGACUCUGGCCAGACUGCCGUUGACAAAACGGAGGAAGGUGGGGAUGACGUCAAAUCAUCAUGCCCUUUAUGACUUGGGCUACACACGUACUACAAUGGCGUUAAACAAAGAGAAGCAAGACCGCGAGGUGGAGCAAAACUCAGAAACAACGUCCCAGUUCGGACUGCAGGCUGCAACUCGCCUGCACGAAGUCGGAAUUGCUAGUAAUCGUGGAUCAGCAUGCCACGGUGAAUACGUUCCCG
This 995-nucleotide ribosomal RNA is filed under the name uncultured bacterium. Its description in RNAcentral is "bacterial SSU rRNA". It matches the Rfam family "Bacterial small subunit ribosomal RNA", at positions 356 to 1376 of the family's 1533-position model. The record is from RNAcentral.